AUUGAACGCUGGCGGCAUGCCUUACACAUGCAAGUCGAACGGUAACAGGUCUUCGGACGCUGACGGGUGGCGAACGGGUGAGUAAUACAUCGGAACGUGCCCAGUCGUGGGGGAUAACUACUCGAAAGAGUAGCUAAUACCGCAUACGAUCUGAGGAUGAAAGCGGGGGACCUUCGGGCCUCGCGCGAUUGGAGCGGCCGAUGGCAGAUUAGGUAGUUGGUGGGAUAAAAGCUUACCAAGCCGACGAUCUGUAGCUGGUCUGAGAGGACGACCAGCCACACUGGGACUGAGACACGGCCCAGACUCCUACGGGAGGCAGCAGUGGGGAAUUUUGGACAAUGGGCGAAAGCCUGAUCCAGCAAUGCCGCGUGCAGGAUGAAGGCCUUCGGGUUGUAAACUGCUUUUGUACGGAACGAAAAAGCUUCUCCUAAUACGAGAGGCCCAUGACGGUACCGUAAGAAUAAGCACCGGCUAACUACGUGC
RNAcentral lists this ribosomal RNA (483 nucleotides) under uncultured bacterium. RNAcentral's name for it is "bacterial SSU rRNA". It matches the Rfam family "Bacterial small subunit ribosomal RNA", at positions 30 to 508 of the family's 1533-position model. The record is from RNAcentral.